RNAcentral lists this transfer RNA (73 nucleotides) under Rhipicephalus microplus (southern cattle tick). RNAcentral's name for it is "tRNA-Ile". It matches the Rfam family "tRNA". From Rfam's summary of the family: Transfer RNA (tRNA) molecules are approximately 80 nucleotides in length. Their secondary structure includes four short double-helical elements and three loops (D, anti-codon, and T loops). The record is from Rfam by way of RNAcentral. Lineage: Eukaryota; Metazoa; Arthropoda; Arachnida; Ixodida; Ixodidae.
GGCCUGCUAGCUCAGUCGGUUAGAGCGUCGUGCUAAUAACGCGAAGGUCGUAGGUUCGAUCCUGCGCAGGCCA